Molecule: ribosomal RNA, 252 nt
Filed under: uncultured bacterium
Lineage: Bacteria
Also listed under: 1 other name
Description: partial 16S ribosomal RNA
Rfam family: Bacterial small subunit ribosomal RNA
Source: RNAcentral
UACGUAGGGGGCGAGCGUUAUCCGGAAUUAUUGGGCGUAAAGAGUGCGUAGGUGGUUUUUUAAGCGUGGGGUGAAAGGCAGCGGCUCAACCGUUGUGAGCCUUGCGAACUGGAAGACUUGAGUGCAGGAGAGGAAAGCGGAAUUCCUAGUGUAGCGGUGAAAUGCGUAGAUAUUAGGAGGAACACCAGUGGCGAAGGCGGCUUUCUGGACUGUAACUGACACUGAGGCACGAAAGCGUGGGGAGCAAACAGG